AAUGGUUCUUUUCAAGGUUCUUUUCAACAUAUUGGCAGAUUAUUACAUUCUGGAAAAGGUUCUUUUCAAGUAUGCAAGAUCAAGGUUGAGCAACAACACAUUAAUUGUUUGUGAGAAUAGAAUAAUCGAAAGGCUGUCCAGAUUAUUAUGCUUAUGCUGUGAAGUUCAGAGUUAUGGCAGAAUAUUGAUUAUAUGUUAAAAAAAAGCAACAUAUGGUCGCCGGAACGGUAAACAAGAAAAAGGUGAAAUUCAUCCCAUUGAAGAUGGAAAGACUGCUGACCUUCUACUCAAAUGGAUUAAUACACAAUUGGGAAGAAGGUCAUGCUGCAAGUAGGAGAAAAAUCUAUAUGGUGGAGAAGAAAGCUUAUGAUGAAUACAAAUCGUUAACAUGAAAAGCAUAUAUUACUUUUCUUUUUUAAGCAUGCAAAUAUAGGGUUCUGAAAGCUAGGAGCUUGACAGAAUGUAAUAGAGGCUACAACUUUUACUCUUUCAUUUCUUUGUAAAAGAAUGUAUAUUAUGUAAGUGCUUAAUGUUUAUGAUGGCUGCACCAUCUAUCCUGACCGUUCUUCCCAUUACAUAUUUUGAUAGUUUAUAUAGAUAGAGAGAGAUGAAGUUAGAAUCA
Molecule: long non-coding RNA, 622 nt
Organism: Cynara cardunculus var. scolymus (artichoke)
Lineage: Eukaryota; Viridiplantae; Streptophyta; Magnoliopsida; Asterales; Asteraceae
Exons: 2
Source: RefSeq, a predicted model, not a curated record